AGUGAACGCUGGCGGUAGGCCUAACACAUGCAAGUCGAACGGCAGCACAGUAAGAGUUUGCUCUUACGGGUGGCGGGUGGCGGACGGGUGAGGAAUGAAUCGGAUUCUACUUUUUCUUGGGGGAUAACGUGGGGAACCUUCCGCUAAUACCUCAUAUGACGUACGGGUGAAAUCAGGGGUUCUUGGGACCUUUGGUGUCAGAUUUAGCCCUUUCCGGAUUAGCUAGUUGGCUGGGUAAGGGCCCACCAAGGCGACGAUCCGUAGCGGGUCUGAGAGGAUGAUCAGCCACACUGGAACUGAGACACGGUCCAGACUCCUACGGGAGGCAGCAGUGGGGAAUAUUGGACAAUGGGCGCAAGCCUGAUCCAGCCAUACCGCGUGGGUGAAGAAGGCCUUCGGGUUGUAAAGCCCUUUUGUUGGGAAAGAAAAGCAGCAGGUUAAUACCCCGCUGUUCUGACGGUACCCAAAGAAUAAGCACCGGCUAACUUCGUG
Molecule: ribosomal RNA, 492 nt
Filed under: uncultured bacterium
Lineage: Bacteria
Description: partial 16S ribosomal RNA
Rfam family: Bacterial small subunit ribosomal RNA
Source: RNAcentral